CUGCUGCCUCCCGUAGGAGUUUGGGCCGUGUCUCAGUCCCAAUGUGGCCGGUUCACCCUCUCAGGCCGGCUAC
This 73-nucleotide ribosomal RNA is filed under the name uncultured bacterium. RNAcentral's name for it is "partial 16S ribosomal RNA". The record is from RNAcentral.